Molecule: ribosomal RNA, 893 nt
Filed under: Ramophialophora globispora
Lineage: Eukaryota; Fungi; Ascomycota; Sordariomycetes; Sordariales
Description: partial large subunit ribosomal RNA
Rfam family: Eukaryotic large subunit ribosomal RNA
Source: RNAcentral
AGCAUAUCAAUAAGCGGAGGAAAAGAAACCAACAGGGAUUGCCCUAGUAACGGCGAGUGAAGCGGCAACAGCUCAAAUUUGAAAUCUGGCUUCGGCCCGAGUUGUAAUUUGUAGAGGAAGCUUCUGGCGCGGUGCCAUCCGAGUCUCCUGGAACGGGGCGCCAUAGAGGGUGAGAGCCCCGUAUGGAUGGAUGCCUAGCCUGUGUGAAGCUCCUUCGACGAGUCGAGUAGUUUGGGAAUGCUGCUCAAAAUGGGAGGUAAAUUCCUUCUAAAGCUAAAUAUUGGCCAGAGACCGAUAGCGCACAAGUAGAGUGAUCGAAAGAUGAAAAGCACUUUGAAAAGAGGGUUAAACAGCACGUGAAAUUGUUGAAAGGGAAGCGCUUGUGACCAGACUUGCGCCAGGCUGAUCAUCCGGUGUUCUCACCGGUGCACUCUGCCUGGCACAGGCCAGCAUCAGUUUUGGCGGGGGGAUAAAGGGCGCAGGAACGUAGCUCCUCCGGGAGUGUUAUAGCCUGUGUCGUAAUGCCCUCGCCGGGACUGAGGACCGCGCAUCUGCAAGGAUGCUGGCGUAAUGGUCAUCAGCGACCCGUCUUGAAACACGGACCAAGGAGUCAAGGUUUUGCGCGAGUGUUUGGGUAUAAAACCCGCACGCGUAAUGAAAGUGAACGUAGGUGAGAGCUUCGGCGCAUCAUCGACCGAUCCUGAUGUAUUCGGAUGGAUUUGAGUAAGAGCGUUAAGCCUUGGACCCGAAAGAUGGUGAACUAUGCUUGGAUAGGGUGAAGCCAGAGGAAACUCUGGUGGAGGCUCGCAGCGGUUCUGACGUGCAAAUCGAUCGUCAAAUCUGAGCAUGGGGGCGAAAGACUAAUCGAACCAUCUAGUAGCUGGUUACCGCCG